AACGAACGCUGGCGGCAUGCCUAACACAUGCAAGUCGAACGAGACCUUCGGGUCUAGUGGCGCACGGGUGCGUAACGCGUGGGAAUCUGCCCUUCGGUUCGGAAUAACAGUGGGAAACUACUGCUAAUACCGGCUAAUGACGUAAGUCCAAAGAUUUAUCGCCGAAGGAUGAGCCCGCGUAGGAUUAGCUAGUUGGUGGGGUAAAGGCCUACCAAGGCGACGAUCCUUAGCUGGUCUGAGAGGAUGAUCAGCCACACUGGGACUGAGACACGGCCCAGACUCCUACGGGAGGCAGCAGUGGGGAAUAUUGGACAAUGGGCGAAAGCCUGAUCCAGCAAUGCCGCGUGAGUGAUGAAGGCCUUAGGGUUGUAAAGCUCUUUUACCCGGGAUGAUAAUGACAGUACCGGGAGAAUAAGCUCCGGCUAACUCCGUGCCAGCAGCCGCUGUAAC
This 450-nucleotide ribosomal RNA is filed under the name uncultured bacterium. Its description in RNAcentral is "bacterial SSU rRNA". It matches the Rfam family "Bacterial small subunit ribosomal RNA", at positions 29 to 524 of the family's 1533-position model. The record is from RNAcentral.